Molecule: long non-coding RNA, 1387 nt
Filed under: Citrus maxima (pomelo)
Lineage: Eukaryota; Viridiplantae; Streptophyta; Magnoliopsida; Sapindales; Rutaceae
Description: long non-coding RNA (CMAX_LNC001583)
Source: RNAcentral
CUGUGUUUUGCUGGAACAAUGGCAAGCCCAAAUCAGUCACAAACAGUGGAAAAUGAAACUAAGAAUCGUACCCUGCAUGAAGCUCGUGUAGCCCGGGUACGUAAAUUAAAGCAUUAUUUUGUUUUGAAAUUUCAUUUUGUUUGAUCGACGACUUUCUUUUUUCUAAUUCUGUUUGGUUUUGGUUUGAUUUCAUGCUAAGCAGGCAAGGCCAGUGGUGGAAGCUUUCAUACAGAAAGUGAAAGAAACUUUCGUAAGUUAUUUUAAAGCCAGGACUUCUUCCUUGUUUUGGAUAACGUUCACUACAAUGUAUAUUAUUUUCUAAAGUUUAAUAGUCAAAGUAUUUAUUAAUAUAAGUGGCGAUUAAUUAAUCAAGGCUCUGGCUGGCACUGAGGAAAGGCCUGCGGUAGAAGAAAGUUCAAGCACUAAGCCUAAUGAAGAAAUGGAACCUGAUGAAUUGAAGUUGGGGGAUCUCAAAAUUAAAUGAAGCUCUCGAGUCUCGGCAAUGAUCGGCGUCAUAGAUCUUUCAAUUUAUCUUUGCAGUUGUAAUGUCAUGUGCUCUAGCACAAUCAUAUGUAUCAGUUACUGUUUUCUCUUUUGCUUUCAAUAAUUGUCUGUCUUGUGUUUCUCAUUUGGUUUAAUAAAUUUCUAAUUUUCAGCAGAGGUUUUUUUUUUUUUUCCCCUUUCAAAAAAGUUUCCACGGAGGGUUACCCUCGAACAAAAAGUAUCAGUUACUUUCUCACUGAAUAAGAUCAAAGAUUGGGCUUUAGGACAAAUGCUCUGAUUUAUCAUGAACUGUAUAUUUUACCAAAAAAGACCGAAAUUUUAUCCUCCCUGAGCUUCUUCCAAGCAAAACCGAAGGUGGUAAUUGAUAGUUAUCAAUUGUUCGGAAGAUAAUUCAAACAUUAGAUGAGAAUAAUUUUUGGGCUAAGUAUAUAUGCCAGGGGUUAUAGCAAUUUUUAAUUUAUGAGUUACCCUUUCCACAUGAUAAAUACAAUACUACUAAAAAAAAAAAACUUUUUAAGUGCAAGAUGUUAACAAGAUAAUCCAACCUUGACUAAAAUACAUAAAACUCGACUUACUGAAUAGUUAGGCCCAUGAUCUUCUUCAUUAAGUUCACUAUAUUGGCAACAAGAUCCUUUUAACCAUGCGAGUACAAACAUGCAGGAUUACAUGAUACGUGUAGCACAUAAAUCAAAUGAUCUUAGAAGAUUUCCCGUGCCCGUAGCUGAGUAGCAUAUACAUUUUUCACAGCUCAUGACAGGAAAUUUGAACACAAACUGCUUGAUGAUUCGAAUCGUUUGAAGUAGCAUUUUUGAGAAAGAGAAACAUAUGCAUGAAGGAGUGAAUAUUGGCACUGCCACAGCCUGACACACAAGCUCACUCAAAU